GGAGAGGUGUCCGAGUGGCCUAUGGUGCCUGCCUCGAAAACAGGUUGACGCAAGUCUCGUGGGUUCGAAUCCCACCCUCUCCGCCA
Molecule: transfer RNA, 86 nt
Filed under: Chloroflexota bacterium
Lineage: Bacteria; Bacillati; Chloroflexota
Also listed under: 1 other name
Description: Chloroflexi bacterium (marine metagenome) tRNA-Ser
Rfam family: tRNA
About the family: Transfer RNA (tRNA) molecules are approximately 80 nucleotides in length. Their secondary structure includes four short double-helical elements and three loops (D, anti-codon, and T loops).
Source: RNAcentral